This 589-nucleotide ribosomal RNA is filed under the name Thalassicolla caerulea. RNAcentral describes it as "eukaryotic LSU rRNA". It matches the Rfam family "Eukaryotic large subunit ribosomal RNA", at positions 92 to 800 of the family's 3401-position model. Lineage: Eukaryota; Polycystinea; Collodaria; Thalassicollidae. The record is from RNAcentral.
AAUGAAAGGAAAGUCGUCUAAUCCAUAAUUCUAUUCUGAAUGGAUGGUAUCUUGUAGUCUUACUAGUUGCAUAGCUUUUUUUGAUAGCAAUCUCAAUCAAACAUGAGAUCCGAUGGGGUUCUUUGCUCGUAUGUUAACCUAAAAAAAGUUUUUUUCAAAUACAUUGUCUAGUAGAGCUCUUUGGUAGGAGAGCUUAAAGCUUGUGGUGAUAUUCACAAAAGACUCAUCAUUGGUGAGAGACCUUUAGCGCACAAGUACCGUGAGGGAAAGAUGAAAAGAACUUUGGAGAGAGAGUUAAAUAGUAUGCAAACAUGUUGAUAGUAAGCGGAUCAAUUUCAUGAACAUUUUUCUGAGACAAUGACAUGUAAUGUAUACUCUGAAUGACGAUAUACGUUAUACUUCUGGCUAGUAAGGGUGAGGUAUGUAUGCUUUUAUCUAUUUUGAUCUGACCCGUCUAGAAACACGGACCAAGGAGUCUAGUAUUGGUGCAAGUAAAUGAAAAUUAAACAUUCCUUUACGCAGGUAACUUAGAUCGUGUGCAUCAUGUCCUAAUGAUCGUAUCGCAGACAGUGUUUUUACCUAGCACGAG